GUAUGUCCAAUACCUUUGCACCCAAAACACUUUACAUCCUUUUUCUUGAAUGUAGGACAUUCAUAUUUGAAGUGUCCAUACCCUAAGCACUCAUGACAUUGCAUAUUUGCCUUCUUAAUAAUUUUACCUUCUUCUGGAUAUUUUUUGCUUGAGCUGAACCUCCUCUGUCCUUGUUCUUCUUCUACCUUCCUUAAUAGUUGAUCAAGUCUUUGAAACAACAAACUUUUAGGAUCAUAUUCUUCUGCCUUU
This 249-nucleotide long non-coding RNA is filed under the name Arabidopsis lyrata. RNAcentral describes it as "long non-coding RNA (ALYR_LNC000119)". Lineage: Eukaryota; Viridiplantae; Streptophyta; Magnoliopsida; Brassicales; Brassicaceae. The record is from RNAcentral.